ACUAUUUUGGCAGAUAAAAUGUAAUGGUUUUAGAAAUCAUUAAUAUAUAACAUAUAAUUAUAUAUAUAGUA
This 71-nucleotide transfer RNA is filed under the name Urodus decens. RNAcentral's name for it is "tRNA-Leu". Lineage: Eukaryota; Metazoa; Arthropoda; Insecta; Lepidoptera; Urodidae. The record is from RNAcentral.